Molecule: long non-coding RNA, 1249 nt
Filed under: Gouania willdenowi (blunt-snouted clingfish)
Lineage: Eukaryota; Metazoa; Chordata; Actinopteri; Blenniiformes; Gobiesocidae
Description: lncRNA (ENSGWIG00000019520.1)
Source: RNAcentral
GUUGAAAAUUGAGCAAGUUAUGGUUAUUAUAACGUGCAUGCACCGCUACUACUCAAUGUUAUGAGUCAGAGAGCUGACUGUGGCAAGAUGGCCGCCAGUGCGGACAAGAUUGUCCUUUCGCGGGCCUAAGCCCGUCGGAUUUUCUCAACGCAUGCGCGUGGUCGACGUCACUUCCUCCUCUCUCCUUUUCCUAUCCACUUUUCCUUAAACCCCGGAAGCGUGGCGGCCAUGAUAAGAAGCGUCCGAAUUCUCUAAAAGCUAAGGAAAGUAGGAUUAAAGCUUCCUACAUAACCUCCUUUAUCUUAGGAAACACCGAUUUAUCCUUUAGUAAAGACAACAUUUAAAAAAAGGACCCGCUCGUCCGAACAUUCACCGAAACCCACGAUGACUGAAAAGGGACGUAGAGCAUUCACAGACGCUGAAACCCUUGCGUUGAUUAAGGCCAGGGUUAAACUGAACACACUCUUCGGGAGGAAGAGGAAUUCGGCAAAGCUUGGCUGGGAGCAGGUGGUGAAGGAGAUGGGGCUGGAGGGCCAGGUCACUGCCAUGCAGGCUUCAAAAAAAUGGGACAAUUUAAAAACUAAAUACAAGGAGCUGAGGAACCCCCUCAGCAGAUCGUACACAGACAACGUUGAGGCCACUGCAGCCAACUGGCCCUGGUUUGAUGUCAUGCAUGAGGUUCUGGGGGAUGGGCCUAUCAUUCAGCUUCCCACCUUGGUUUCCUCAUGCCCGAUGCCAAAGGUAGAGCAGAUUGAGCCUUCAUCAUCCUCCCUCCAGCCUGCCACUGAUGAUGAGGAGUCUCAGCCCCCCACCAAAAGGAAGCGGGUGGGGCCCCUGUUGACGUUCUUGAGGGAGCAGGCCAAAAAAGAUGAUGCGUUCAAUGCUGCUCUCCUGGAGCAGAAUGAGCGCUUCUUGAGUCUGCUGGGUGAGCUAGUGAAAAACAAUAAAAAAGAGAGUUAAUUUACACAUGAAACUUUACCCGUUGUGUUUAUUGAACAGAUGACAACUCACAAAGUACAAAUACUUUGUUAAUGUACUGAAGUUGUUUUUUCUGGUGUCUAUACUUUACUUCAGUAGCCUAUUUAUUUUUUUGGUGACUUUUUACUUUUACUCCUCUCUUUUUUAAUCAAAUAUCUGUACUUUCUACUCCUUGCAUUUUAAAAAUUAGCCCGUUACUUUUAGGACCUUCAAAGAUGACGUCACAACGUAAAAAAGAUGGGAACCAACAACUGCAAAGCAGGAAAAGAAG